Molecule: transfer RNA, 69 nt
Filed under: Marmota marmota marmota (Alpine marmot)
Lineage: Eukaryota; Metazoa; Chordata; Mammalia; Rodentia; Sciuridae
Also listed under: 3 other names
Rfam family: tRNA
About the family: Transfer RNA (tRNA) molecules are approximately 80 nucleotides in length.
Source: Rfam by way of RNAcentral
GGGGUUGUGGCUCAGUGGUAGAGCACUCGCCUAUUACUUGUGAGGCCCUGGGGUCGAUUCUCAGCACCA